CAUGCAGUUCUUGGAACUUCUGAAUGGUGGUCAUAUUGAAUCUCAUAUGUAAUUAACAAUAAAUGUUAGUAUGUAUUGUUCAGAAACCUGAUGUAUGCUGUCUCAUUUGAGCAUUACACAUUCCUUAACUGCACAUUCUACACUUCUGCAGGGCCGCCAUCCCCCUGUUGGCGACUUUUGGUGCUAAAUUUGUUUUUUUCGUGGUCGAGGCCGCAUGUUCCACUGUGUGCGUCCACCGAUUUUGUUGUGCUUCGUCCAAUGCAUGACGCGUUAGAGUUCUCUGAAUGCCUCAUAUUGUUUUGUUGUCACUCAGUAAUUCACAUGCAUUUAUUUCGUAUAGAUGAAUACUACUUUUUACAAUAAAUGAACAAAUCAC
Molecule: long non-coding RNA, 376 nt
Filed under: Androctonus crassicauda
Lineage: Eukaryota; Metazoa; Arthropoda; Arachnida; Scorpiones; Buthidae
Source: RNAcentral